GGGUAACCAGCCCAUCAGAAGGCCUCUACACUGGGAAACAGGUGCUAAUACCGUAUAACGCUAUUUUCCGCAUGGAAGAAAGUUGAAAGGCGCUUUUGCGUCCCUGAUGGAUGGACCCGCGGUGCAUUAGCUAGUUGGUGAGGUAACGGCUCACCAAGGCAACGAUGCAUAGCCGACCUGAGAGGGUGAUCGGCCACACUGGGACUGAGACACGGCCCAGACUCCUACGGGAGGCAGCAGUAGGGAAUCUUCGGCAAUGGACGAAAGUCUGACCGAGCAACGCCGCGUGAGUGAAGAAGGUUUUCGGAUCGUAAAACUCUGUUGUUAGAGAAGAACAAGGAUGAGAGUAAAACGUUCAUCCCUUGACGGUAUCUAACCAGAAAGCCACGGCUAACUACGUGCCAGCAGCCGCGGUAAUACGUAGGUGGCAAGCGUUGUCCGGAUUUAUUGGGCGUAAAGCGAGCGCAGGCGGUUUCUUAAGUCUGAUGUGAAAGCCCCCGGCUCAACCGGGGAGGGUCAUUGGAAACUGGGAGACUUGAGUGCAGAAGAGGAGAGUGGAAUUCCAUGUGUAGCGGUGAAAUGCGUAGAUAUAUGGAGGAACACCAGUGGCGAAGGCGGCUCUCUGGUCUGUAACUGACGCUGAGGCUCGAAAGCGUGGGGAGCGAACAGGAUUAGAUACCCUGGUAGUCCACGCCGUACACGAUGAGUGCUAAGUGUUGGAGGGUUUCCG
RNAcentral lists this ribosomal RNA (730 nucleotides) under uncultured bacterium. RNAcentral's name for it is "bacterial SSU rRNA". It matches the Rfam family "Bacterial small subunit ribosomal RNA", at positions 119 to 836 of the family's 1533-position model. The record is from RNAcentral.